Long non-coding RNA from Bombus terrestris (buff-tailed bumblebee), 542 nucleotides. RefSeq lists it as uncharacterized. NCBI's taxonomy places the organism in Eukaryota, Metazoa, Arthropoda, Insecta, Hymenoptera, Apidae. The record is from RefSeq and is a predicted model, not a curated record. The transcript is spliced from 2 exons.
CGCACGCAUUUGGAAUGAAAUCCUCUGUUUUAGACUUAAACCGACGUUUAUCGUAGGCUCGUAGAAUCGAUUUCGUUGGAUCUUGCGGCAAGACUGGAUCGGAGAUUGGUUAAACUCGUUUAGAGUUUAACAGGUAGUACUAAAGAGUUCUUGGAUCGGCUGCGGUAAUAAGGAUAAACGUACGGUCCUUUUUAUGAUCCUCUUUAUGUGUAGAUAACCGCUCAUUGGAGAGAACGAAUGGUACGAGAAACUCGUGCUAGCAAAUCUUGGGCAAGAAAAGUUGGAGAACUUAGCGGAAUAUAGCUAUACGGUUCAGUUUGCUACGUAUUAGACGCCAUAGGCCGUUCACGAUGUUUGGAAUCGACAUCGCGGUACAACGAAGGCUCAACGAGGGUCGAUCGUGUAAUCGAGAACAGAUAGGGCGGCACUGGUUUCAACGCGAACUCCAGAUGAUCGAUCAGGUCGAACGGGUUACAUGGCGAAUUUUAUGCUUUUAACUUAACCACACACAAUACCUCGCGGAAAUUUAACAUUCAACUGUA